AUACGGAGGGUGCAAGCGUUACUCGGAAUCACUGGGCGUAAAGCGCGCGCAGGCGGGCUGAUAAGUUGGAUGUGAAAGCCUACGGCUCAACCGUAGAACUGCAUCCAAAACUGUCAGUCUAGAGUCUGGGAGGGGAAGAUGGAAUUAGUUGUGUAGGGGUAAAAUCCGUAGAGAUAACUAGGAAUACCAAAAGCGAAGGCGAUCUUCUGGAACAGUACUGACGCUGAGGCGCGAAAGCGUGGGGAGCAGACAGGAUUAGAAACCCUAGUAGUCC
Molecule: ribosomal RNA, 274 nt
Filed under: uncultured bacterium
Lineage: Bacteria
Description: partial 16S ribosomal RNA
Rfam family: Bacterial small subunit ribosomal RNA
Source: RNAcentral